This 387-nucleotide ribosomal RNA is filed under the name uncultured bacterium. RNAcentral's name for it is "bacterial SSU rRNA". It matches the Rfam family "Bacterial small subunit ribosomal RNA", at positions 30 to 417 of the family's 1533-position model. The record is from RNAcentral.
AUUGAACGCUGGCGGAAUGCUUUACACAUGCAAGUCGAACGGCAGCACGAGGGCAACCUUGGUGGCGAGUGGCGAACGGGUGAGUAAUACAUCGGAACGUGCCCAGUCGUGGGGGAUAACGUAGCGAAAGCUACGCUAAUACCGCAUACGAUCUAUGGAUGAAAGCGGGGGACCGUAAGGCCUCGCGCGAUUGGAGCGGCCGAUGGCAGAUUAGGUAGUUGGUGGGGUAAAGGCUCACCAAGCCUGCGAUCUGUAGCUGGUCUGAGAGGACGACCAGCCACACUGGAACUGAGACACGGUCCAGACUCCUACGGGAGGCAGCAGUGGGGAAUUUUGGACAAUGGGCGCAAGCCUGAUCCAGCCAUGCCGCGUGAGUGAAGAAGGCCU